CGAACGCUGGCGGCGUGCCUAAUACAUGCAAGUCGUGCGGACCUUUUAAAAGCUUGCUUUUAAAAGGUUAGCGGCGGACGGGUGAGUAACACGUGGGCAACCUGCCUGUAAGACUGGGAUAACGCCGGGAAACCGGGGCUAAUACCAGAUCGUUUUUUCCUCCGCAUGGAGGAAAAAGGAAAGGCGGCUUCGGCUGCCACUUACAGAUGGGCCCGCGGCGCAUUAGCUAGUUGGCGGGGUAACGGCCCACCAAGGCAACGAUGCGUAGCCGACCUGAGAGGGUGAUCGGCCACAUUGGGACUGAGACACGGCCCAAACUCCUACGGGAGGCAGCAGUAGGGAAUCUUCCGCAAUGGACGAAAGUCUGACGGAGCAACGCCGCGUGAGUGAAGAAGGCCUUCGGGUCGUAAAACUCUGUUGCCGGGGAAGAACAAGUGCCGUUCGAACAGGGCGGCGCCUUGACGGUACCCGGCCAGAAAGCCACGGCUAACUACGUG
RNAcentral lists this ribosomal RNA (497 nucleotides) under uncultured bacterium. Its description in RNAcentral is "partial 16S ribosomal RNA". It matches the Rfam family "Bacterial small subunit ribosomal RNA", at positions 30 to 507 of the family's 1533-position model. The record is from RNAcentral.